Molecule: ribosomal RNA, 510 nt
Filed under: uncultured bacterium
Lineage: Bacteria
Description: bacterial SSU rRNA
Rfam family: Bacterial small subunit ribosomal RNA
Source: RNAcentral
GACGAUCGCUGGCGGCGUGCCUAAUACAUGCAAGUCAAGCGGACCAAAGGGAGCUUGCUCCUGGAGGUCAGCGGCGAACGGGUGAGUAACACGUGGGCAACCUGCCUGUAAGACUGGGAUAACAUCGAGAAAUCGGUGCUAAUACCGGAUAAUAAAAAGAACUGCAUGGUUCUUUUUUGAAAGAUGGUUUCGGCUAUCACUUACAGAUGGGCCCGCGGCGCAUUAGCUAGUUGGUGAGGUAACGGCUCACCAAGGCAACGAUGCGUAGCCGACCUGAGAGGGUGAUCGGCCACACUGGGACUGAGACACGGCCCAGACUCCUACGGGAGGCAGCAGUAGGGAAUCUUCCGCAAUGGACGAAAGUCUGACGGAGCAACGCCGCGUGAGUGAUGAAGGUUUUCGGAUCGUAAAACUCUGUUGUUAGGGAAGAACAAGUGCCGUUCGAAAGGGCGGCACCUUGACGGUACCUAACGAGAAAGCCACGGCUAACUACGUGCCAGCAGCCGACGG